UACGAAGGGGGCGAGCGUUGUUCGGAGUUACUGGGCGUAAAGGGCGCGUAGGCGGCGCUCCAAGUUAGGCGUGAAAGCCCCGGGCUCAACCUGGGAAUAGCGCUUAAGACUGGAGUGCUCGAGUGCGGAAGAGGUGAGUGGAAUUCCCAGUGUAGAGGUGAAAUGCGUAGAUAUUGGGAAGAACACCAGUGGCGAAGGCGGCUCACUGGUCCGCAACUGACGCUGAGGCGCGAAAGCGUGGGGAGCAAACAGG
RNAcentral lists this ribosomal RNA (253 nucleotides) under uncultured prokaryote. Its description in RNAcentral is "partial 16S ribosomal RNA". It matches the Rfam family "Bacterial small subunit ribosomal RNA", at positions 524 to 776 of the family's 1533-position model. The record is from RNAcentral.